CUACCUUGGCUUUCUGAAGUAGAUCUGUUUACCUUGUCCUUCUAUAUUUUUCUGCCCAUGAGAAGUCCAUUUGCUCAUUUUUAUCCAUAUCCCCACCCAGCUUUAAAUUUCUCCCUCGUCCUCGCUUGGUUUGGCUGUUUGUCAAUGGUUUUCUCUUUUCUCUUCUAAAUUACACAGUUCUCCCGUUACUGGCCCAAGCUCCUUUUCCAUUACCCACUUUGCGCCUUCAGUCCGGGCAGCAUUCUACACAUCCGUUGGAAUCAAGCAGAGAAACGGUAUUUCAUUCCAGGCGGCGAGCUCGCUCUUUCUCCUUUCCUUGAUAUAAGCAUGACGUCUAUCGCUUCUCUCCUUAACCCGGAGCCUGAAUCGAGAGAGAGAUAUCCCCAACAGCUCCCCACGCCGUCCCCCAGCCGCUUUGCAAGAGAGUACCGCCAGUCCCCCCCUCCAAGGCAGAAAAAACAGAAGAUAUCCAAAGAUGCCGCCGUCUUCACUCGGGGUAGAACGCGAGGAGAGUUGAGGUAUCCUCCUUGCGAGUAUCAGAAUCAAGAACUUGCUGAAGCGCAUAGAGAAUUUCAGAUCCAUCCAAUGGGCCAUAUUACGGAGUAUCCAAGGCAUAUUCCAUACAAUAGCGAGAAGAAGUCGUUUUUAGAGAAGAC
This 656-nucleotide small RNA is filed under the name Histoplasma ohiense. RNAcentral describes it as "hypothetical lncRNA". The record is from RNAcentral. Lineage: Eukaryota; Fungi; Ascomycota; Eurotiomycetes; Onygenales; Ajellomycetaceae.